UUGUACAAUUUAUUUUUAGAUUAGAGCAAGCAAGCACAUAAUAUACAUUCAUUUUUGACACAAAAAAGAUUAAUUACUUUCUUCUUUACUUUAGCUCAUUGCCAGACAACAACGGUUGAACCUACAACUGGGAUGACGACAACCGCUGAACCUACAACAGAUCAGACAACUUUUCCAGCAGAAUUUCCAACAGGUAAACACAGAAAAAUAAAAGAUCUUACGUUGACUCCCCCUUUACAGAAGUGUAAAACAUUAAUAUCUUUUCUUUAAUUGAUGUUGUUGAUCCAGCUGCACCCUGUGGUGACUUCUUGUUUGGCAACUCUGGCACUUUCUACAGCCCCAACUAUCCGUACCCCUUCCAUAACAAUGAUUACUGUGUUUGGUACAUUAGACCAAGCAGAGAAAUUGUGCGUCUGGAUUUCUCUUAUGUAUCGUAAGUGUUGUGCAAGUUGAGUUGUGUGUGAUAGUAAACUAUUAACGUUACAUAGUGGGGUACUUAAGAGUAAUAACUGUAUUUUUUUUUCUUGUUUUCUUAGCAUUCGGUGUAGUUCUGAAAACAUUUGGGUCUAUGAUGGCUUCAGCACCGGAUCAAGACUUUUGGGAACAUUUUGCGACAACCACAUGACCAUCUUCUAUUCCACGGGUCGCUAUCUAACCGUAACAUUUACCAGUAAUAUCACUAUCAGCUACUCAGAUUUCCGUGGCAACUACAGAGUAGUGGAUGAGGGUUCCUGCCAACAAAACUGUGGCUAUCAGGUUGGAAACUGUUCUUGCUCUUCAUCUUGCAGAGACAGAGGAAACUGUUGUUCGGACUAUGAGGAUCAUUGCCACCCUGCUGAACCUACAGCAGGUAUGACGACAACCAUGGAACCUACAGAAGGCAUGUGGACAACCGCUGAACCUACAGAAGGCAUGACGACAACCAUGGAACCUACUAAAGGCAUGACAACAACCGCUGAACCUACAGAAGGCAUGACAACAACCGCUGAACCUACUGAAGGCAUGACAACAACCGCCGAACCUACAGCAGGCAUGACGACAACCGCUGAACCUACUGAAGGCAUGACGACAACCGCUGAACCUACAGAAGGCAUGACGACAACCGCUGAACCUACAGCACGCAUGACGACAACCGCUGAACCUACAGCACGCAUGACGACAACCGCUGAACCUACAGCACGCAUGACGACAACCGCUGAACCUACAACCGGCAUGAUGAUAAGCGUUGACCCUACAACAGGUAUGAAACAGUCAACAUAA
RNAcentral lists this long non-coding RNA (1260 nucleotides) under Oryzias javanicus (javanese ricefish). RNAcentral describes it as "lncRNA (ENSOJAG00000009700.1)". The record is from RNAcentral. Lineage: Eukaryota; Metazoa; Chordata; Actinopteri; Beloniformes; Adrianichthyidae.